UGGGGAAUUUUGGACAAUGGGCGCAAGCCUGAUCCAGCAAUGCCGCGUGCAGGAUGAAGGCCUUCGGGUUGUAAACUGCUUUUGUACGGAACGAAAAAGCUCUCUCUAAUACAGGGGGUGAAUGACGGUACCAUAAGAAUAAGCACCGGCUAACUACGUGCCAGCAGCCGCGGUAAUACGUAGGGUGCAAGCGUUAAUCGGAAUUACUGGGCGUAAAGCGUGCGCAGGCGGUUUUGUAAGACAGAGGUGAAAUCCCCGGGCUCAACCUGGGAACUGCCUUUGUGACUGCAAAGCUGGAGUGCGGCAGAGGGGGAUGGAAUUCCGCGUGUAGCAGUGAAAUGCGUAGAUAUGCGGAGGAACACCGAUGGCGAAGGCAAUCCCCUGGGCCUGCACUGACGCUCAUGCACGAAAGCGUGGGGAGCAAACA
Molecule: ribosomal RNA, 427 nt
Filed under: uncultured bacterium
Lineage: Bacteria
Description: bacterial SSU rRNA
Rfam family: Bacterial small subunit ribosomal RNA
Source: RNAcentral